CUGGCACGGUGAUGACGGUGACAAGCACAGCUACACCAAGCAGUCCCAGGAGAACCUUCCACGGUGUCUACAAGCAGGUAAACUACAACUGACCCCAAGGGAAGCUGAAACAUGUUCCAUGCUUGCUGAAGAGCUACCACGCCCGGCAGCGUACAGAUCUCAAGAUGAGUCAGGCGUGUCCCCAUUAUCGAAGGGUUUCCAAACCCACUCACAAUUGUAAUUUACCCAAGGUAAGACUGUCUUCUACUGAGGAAAUUGUGUCACAGAGAGACAGCCGCUCUCCCCUGCAUUCUGCAGAUGGCACCUGGACCCAGAGGGCUUGAUCUAGAGCACACAGAAUUAUUUGCUAUACAUUUUUGCAUCCAGUAACCUAAAAGGGCCCUGCAAGCAGUAUUGUGAGGUUUGAAGAGGCAGAGACGUAAAAUCUUCUGCAGGACUGUGGCUGGCUCGGUGGAUACCUGUGGAGUCUUCCUUUGUAUUACCAUUGUUCCUUUCAUUUUUGAGGUCUUGCCAUUGCUUCAAGAAUAAAGAAACAUCAAGAUCCA
Long non-coding RNA from Mesocricetus auratus (golden hamster), 545 nucleotides. RefSeq lists it as uncharacterized. The record is from RefSeq and is a predicted model, not a curated record. NCBI's taxonomy places the organism in Eukaryota, Metazoa, Chordata, Mammalia, Rodentia, Cricetidae. The transcript has 4 exons.